RNAcentral lists this ribosomal RNA (298 nucleotides) under uncultured Sphingomonadaceae bacterium. RNAcentral's name for it is "partial 16S ribosomal RNA". It matches the Rfam family "Bacterial small subunit ribosomal RNA", at positions 111 to 426 of the family's 1533-position model. Lineage: Bacteria; Pseudomonadati; Pseudomonadota; Alphaproteobacteria; Sphingomonadales; Sphingomonadaceae. The record is from RNAcentral.
UAACGCGUGGGAAUCUGCCCUUAGGUACGGAAUAACUCAGGGAAACUUGAGCUAAUACCGUAUAAUGACUCCGGUCCAAAGAUUUAUCGCCUGAGGAUGAGCCCGCGACGGAUUAGCUAGUUGGUGAGGUAAGAGCUCACCAAGGCGACGAUCCGUAGCUGGUCUGAGAGGAUGAUCAGCCACACUGGGACUGAGACACGGCCCAGACUCCUACGGGAGGCAGCAGUGGGGAAUAUUGGACAAUGGGCGAAAGCCUGAUCCAGCAAUGCCGCGUUAGUGAUGAAGGCCUUAGGGUUGU